GCUAUACNUGCAGUCGAGCGAAUGGAUUAAGAGCUUGCUCUUAUGAAGUUAGCGGCGGACGGGUGAGUAACACGUGGGUAACCUGCCCAUAAGACUGGGAUAACUCCGGGAAACCGGGGCUAAUACCGGAUAACAUUUUGAACUGCAUGGUUCGAAAUUGAAAGGCGGCUUCNGCUGUCACUUAUGGAUGGACCCGCGUCGCAUUAGCUAGUUGG
This 215-nucleotide ribosomal RNA is filed under the name Bacillus wiedmannii. Its description in RNAcentral is "partial 16S ribosomal RNA". It matches the Rfam family "Bacterial small subunit ribosomal RNA", at positions 50 to 252 of the family's 1533-position model. The record is from RNAcentral. Lineage: Bacteria; Bacillati; Bacillota; Bacilli; Caryophanales; Bacillaceae.